GGAUUAGAUACCCUGGUAGUCCACGCCGUAAACGAUGUGCACUAGAUCGGUGGCGGUCUGACCCGUUGCCGGUCGUAGAGAAAUCACUAAGUGCACCGCCUGGGGAGUACGGUCGCAAGGCUAAAACUCAAAGGAAUUGACGGGGGCUCACACAAGCGGUGGAGCAUGUUGCUUAAUUCGAGUCAACGCGAAGAACCUUACCUGGGUUUGACAUGUACGGAUUAACUCUGUGAAAGCAGAGCCACGCCCGCAAGGGUGGAACGUACACAGGUGCUGCAUGGCUGUCGUCAGCUCGUGCCG
This 300-nucleotide ribosomal RNA is filed under the name uncultured bacterium. Its description in RNAcentral is "bacterial SSU rRNA". It matches the Rfam family "Bacterial small subunit ribosomal RNA", at positions 775 to 1067 of the family's 1533-position model. The record is from RNAcentral.